ACUUUAAAAGCCUCAUUUUGCUUUUAGCUUUUCAGUUUUUAAACACCAUGUUUACAGUGGUGGAUAUUUUUACUUUAAGCUGUUUCUCUCUGCUCUUCGACUUUAUACACAGCUAAGCUAACUCUAUCAUAAGAAGCAGGAUUUUUGCUACCAUAAGCUUUUUUUGUCUUGUUUUUUUUUUAGUCUGACUCUUAUCAUGUUUGAUCUUUGGCCCUGUGCGAGUAACAGAGUAGCAUUUAACUAAAUGCAAUCUUAAAACUGGAAUUAUUCUGACAAAGAUUUAUAUCUUCAUAAGCAACGACCGGUACUCAGGAGGUCUUGGCCUGUGCAAAUGGCCUGACUCCAAAUGAUAUCUGAUGGGCUGUGUGGCUUCAGCUUAAUAUUUAACACAAACAUGAGAGAGAAGGAUCAAAUUUCUUUUGUUUGUGAGGAAAAGCCAGUUGGAAGGAGCUUAUUUCACACAGAGUAGAAACUGGGCGAUUGAUUCCCAGAAUAAGAAAAAGGGGCAUUAUUUUGAACUUUUACUCAUGAAAAGCUAGGCUAAUGCUAAUGAGUGAAAUAAUAAAUACAUGAAGCUGAGCGUAACAGAGGCACCGCUUAGUCUGUGCAAGUCCCCUUUUUUCCAUUUAUGUCAUGUGUUUAGUUUAUCUGAAGCCCGUCUGAUUUUAUUUUUUCUACAGCUGUAAACCAAAUCCUCGGGGCUCAGUCUGUCCCAGAUCUUAAAGAGACGGCUUUAAGUUUGCACUUUGAAAGCUUUGAGGUGCUGAGUGUCGUCGGUGCUGCUGGGAGAGCUGGAGCUUUGCACCCCUCUUACCUUUGCAGACACAGUUUGUGGUUGAGCAUUUAAAGCAGCAGCACCUUUUUAACAUUUUCUGAAGGGCGUGUCUCAUUCCAGGAUGUUUUUGUAAAGAGUUCAACUUUUGGCAAAGGUCAUCUAUAUAUUCUACGUGCCUUAACACUGGAUAAGAAAUGAAAAAUGUGCUCGUGAUGCUGAUUCUGUUUGUUUAAUGAUGACGGAGCAUAUAUUCGGAGGCUGCAGGCUCUGUGGUUUCUCUCCUGUCCUUUUGCACAUGGUGCUUGUUCCUUUGGCAUGCUGUUGUCUGCAGUCUGUUCACUUUGUUUCAGAGGUUCUGUCAUUUGAGGUGUUGCACUUUGUGUGCCAGGCUGAAGCUUGAGCGUUUCUGCGAUCCUACACACACACUGUCACACAGCGUAUCUGAGCAUAUUCGAUAUUUUUCUCUUUAUUUUUCUUUUGGUUGCUGCAUCGGCCGAAUGUGAGCUUCACUGUUUGAAUGGUUUCACUCUCAAUGCUGAUCAGCCACAGCAUUAAAACUUUUUUUUUUUAAACCACAAUUAUUUUGAACCACAGUAGUUUUUGAAAAGUCAAUGAGACAUUAAGCCGUCAUGUUAAAUAGCUGCCAGGUUCAUGGGAUGUGAGAUGGGUUAUUGUUGACCGAGACCAGAAAAACAGCGAGUCGCUCCACUUUUAAAGCGAUCACUAAAUUAAUUUAGGAAGACAUCGAAGCGUUCAAGGUGUUAAACUCUGCCACUGGCAGCCGGUGAAGCCAUGCUUCUACCAAUCAGAUCUGCUUUUUAUGUUGUGGCUGAUCAGUAUAUUGAAAGGUAUUGAUCAGAGAUUUUGGGUUAAACACUGAAAAGCUGCAGCCGGUCACCAAC
Oreochromis aureus is the source of this 1677-nucleotide long non-coding RNA. NCBI's taxonomy places the organism in Eukaryota, Metazoa, Chordata, Actinopteri, Cichliformes, Cichlidae. The record is from Ensembl.